Canis lupus familiaris (dog) is the source of this 104-nucleotide non-coding RNA. NCBI's taxonomy places the organism in Eukaryota, Metazoa, Chordata, Mammalia, Carnivora, Canidae. The record is from Rfam.
GCGCACUUUGGCAGCACAUAUACUAAAAUUGGAAUGACACAGAGAAGAUUAACAUGGGCCCUGCGCAAAGAUGACACACAAAUUCACGAAGGUUCCAUAUUUUU